This 1911-nucleotide long non-coding RNA is filed under the name Homo sapiens (human). RNAcentral's name for it is "HSALNT0204342". The record is from RNAcentral. Lineage: Eukaryota; Metazoa; Chordata; Mammalia; Primates; Hominidae.
GGAGUAAGGAGGCUAGUCAGCACAGCAGUCAGAGCUCACAUCACAUUUAUGACACUGAGACUGAAGUCAGGAAGGCAGGCCAUUGGGAAGGAAAGAUGGUGAAGUGGGGAAGGAACAGGACACAUUGGAGCACAUAAGAGUGAGCUGGAACACAUGCAGGUCUCUUGUCAGCUCCAGCUCCCAACAUCAGUGCUAUUUCUGGCUAGAUGUGAAACUGGUGCCCUUUCCUGUGAAGCUAACCACAGCACUGGCCCAAGAGUCACAGAAGAUAAAGGAAGAGACCCAAGAGGAGUUGGACGAGCAAGUCCUGCUGCUGCUGCAGACGCUGCACACACUGGUCUAGGAUUUUGAGAAACUGAAGGAGGAGAUCCAGCUGUUGCUGGAGUGACUGUCAGCUGGCCCUGCUCCACUUAGACAAGGUGAGCCAGCCCAUCAGAAACAAUGUGCCUGAUUUGCAAUGGCACCCGAUGUCUUGCAUUGUAAUUGCAUUGACCUUCCCAGUAUAAAAGGAUAUGACUGUUGCUGCUUCUCUUCCACUUUUCAAAUGUCAUCUAAAGUAUCUCUUGCAGCCCACAGGAAUUUGGAAUUAUGCUAAAAAGUGGAUUCUGAGAAUCAUGUUUGUAACUUAAAUGAGCUUACACAGUGCAUAUCACCUUGCAUAUGUCAAAAUAAAAAAUGAAAUAAAAAUCGAUACAAUCUCUUCUUCUCCCUGGAGUAAAGACAGUAUCUUUUUUCUGAAUACUAUGUGUUCAUCAGUCUUCUCAUCACAGCUUCAGUGCCUGUAUCAGAUAACAUCUUAGGAAGUCUCAUCCAGGCUACCCUUCCUCCAGACACACUGGAUAUGAUCUUAAUUGCUAGAAUAUUAAGAGAAGAUAAUAAGAUAAGAAGGGAAGCAGCAACCAUAUGAUGUGAUAAUUGUGAGUCUGGGACCUGGAAGCUUUACAAAAGAUAUUGGGUAAUAAAGACUUGGAGACUUACAUGUUUAACUUCCUUAUCCAGAGUGAUCUGAUGGGCAUAUUUAUUAUGAUGAUGGUAAAGAUAUUAAGUUCAAAUUCAACCCCCAUCUGAGAGGACUGGAAGACUGUUUAAGUUGUCAGGGUAGCCUGACAAUGAACCAGGGCUGCAUACAAACCAUUAGUGAAAACUGCAAAGAUACAUGUAACACACAGGCAAAUAUACAAAGAGAACCUUGUAUGGAGUGUAAAAGAAGCAUACGCCUACAAACUGCUGGAGGCUUUGAAAGCAAUUUACCGAGAAAGCUUUUUACAGUGGCCCACUUUGGAGCCAUCGAUAAUUAACUAAACAAAUAUUUCAGAGUGUAUCCAACUGGUUUCAGCCAAUUUCCUUAGGGAGUUGUGAUACUUUAAAUUCCAUAUAAUGAUACUGUUGGAUCAGUGUCUUCAGCUGCAGUAUGUAAGCACACAGGACUUGAUUCAUGAUCAUAUGGGUAAUAAUUUGAGAUCAAUAUUUUAAAUAAUGUAAUAGAAAACCAGCAAGGAAUCUCUCACAAGUAAUAAAUAGCGCUUGAGCCUUAGUUGUGGGUAUAUGGAGUCAUUAUGAAUUCUGCCAAGUAUAUAGAUUUAUGCUUAUACAAAUUACUGAGUGAUAAAAGACAACAUUUCUCAUAAUAGCAAUAUGGUUUCAUAACCUAUCCAAGAGCAUAGGUUUCUUCAUGUAGGACACCAAGAAACCAAAGCAUUAUUCUAACCACUUAUUCAUAAUAGGUCUGACUUUAGCAGCUGAUAUUUCUGCCUUGCAGAGACUCUGUUUUUCCCAGUCUUGAGAUGAGAUGUGAAGCUUGUCUUAUUCACACUGCGUGGCAUAUGGAAAGAAGCUCAGGCUUUAGAGGCAGAAAUACAUCUGCUCGAGGGAUCUGCUUAGUGCUAGUUUCUGCUUCUGUAAAAUGCGAAU